UUUUUAAACCUCGCCAUUUAGAGGAAGGUGAAGUCGUAACAAGGUUUCCGUAGGUGAACCUGCGGAAGGAUCAUUACCACACCUAAAAAACUUUCCACGUGAACCGUAUCAACCCCAUUAGUUGGGGGUUUGAUUGGCGGUUGCUGCUGGCAUCUUUUUGCUGGCUGGCGACUGCUGAGCGAACCCUAUCUUGGCGAUUGUUCUGACCUUCGGUUGGAGUGAGUAGCUUGCAUUUUAAACCCAUUCUUAAUUACUGAACAUACUGUGGGGACGAAAGUCUCUGCUUUUAACUAGAUAGCAACUUUCAGCAGUGGAUGUCUAGGCUCGCACAUCGAUGAAGAACGCUGCGAACUGCGAUACGUAAUGCGAAUUGCAGGAUUCAGUGAGUCAUCGAAAUUUUGAACGCAUAUUGCACUUCCGGGUUAUCCCUGGAAGUAUGCCUGUAUCAGUGUCCGUACAUCAAACUUGGUUUUCUUCUUUCCGUGUAGUCGGUGGAGGAUAUGCCAGAUGUGAAGUGUCUUGCGGCUGGUUUUCGGAUCGGCUGCGAGUCCUUUUAAAUGUACAGAACUGACUCUCUUUGUUCGAAAAGCGUGGCGUUGCUGGUUGUGGAGGCUGUCAGUAUGGCUAGUCGGCGACCGGUUUGUCUGCUAUGGCAUAAAUGGAGGAGUGUUCGAUUCGCGGUAUGGUUGGCUUCGGCUGAACAGGCGCUUAUUGGACGUUCUUCCUGCUAUGGCGGUAUGAACUGGUGAACCGUAGUUCAUGCAUGACUUGGCUUUUGAAUUGGCUUUGCUGUGCGAAGUAGAGCGACAGUUUCGGCUGUCGAGGGUCGACCCAUUUGGGAAAUUGUGCUGUGCGACUUCGGUUGCGUGGCAUCUCAAUUGGACCUGAUAUCAGGCAAGAUUACCCGCUGAACUUAAGCAUAUUAAUAAGCGGAGGAAAAGAAACUAACAAGGAUUCCCCUAGUAACGGCGAGUGAAGCGGGAUGAGCUCAAGCUUAAAAUCUCCGUACAAGUUUUGUACGGCGAAUUGUAGUCUAUAGAGGCGUGGUCAGCGUGAGCUCUUGGGGUAAGUUCCUUGGAAAAGGACAGCAUGGAGGGUGAUACUCCCGUUCAUCUCCGAGUGGCUCGUGCGUACGACCCGUUUUCUUUGAGUCGCGUUGUUUGAGAAUGCAGCGCAAAGUAGGUGGUAAAUUCCAUCUAAAGCUAAAUAUUGGUGCGAGACCGAUAGCAUACAAGUACCGUGAGGGAAAGAUGAAAAGAACUUUGAAAAGAGAGUUAAAGAGUACCUGAAACUGCUGAAAGGGAACCGAAUCGUUUCCAGUGUCUAUAAUCUGUGGCAUAUUUCAUUGGCGAGUGUGUGCGUGCGUGUGCUGUGGCAGCGGCCUUUUGGCUGCGCUUGGCGCGUGUGGUGUGUGUGCUUGCUGGUGCCCUGUGCUGCGGUGGGACGUCAAUGUCAGUUCGUAUGCUGCGGGAAAUGGCUGCCGAGGAGGUAGGGCUUACGCUUGCGUUUGUCUGUUAUAUCUUGGUGGACGAGUCGUCGUGGUUGGGACUGAGGUGCCUACAACGUGCUUUUGAGUGGGUUUGUGUCUCUGUGUGUGCCGUGUGCGGAUAGCUUGCUAUGCGUGUGUGGUUAUGUGUGGAUUGAUAUGGGCUUUAACUUGUUGCCGUUCGGGACGUUGACGAAAUGGAGCGAUCCGACCCGUCUUGAAACACGGACCAAGGAGUCUAACAUGUGUGCAAGUGUUAGGGUGUGGAAACCCCAGCGCGAAAUGAAAGUAAAGGGCAGCGCAAGCUGUCUGAGGUAGGAAACGUUGCGGGCUUCGGUCUGCGGCGUGGCACUAUCGACCGAUCAUGAACCUUCGUGGUGAAAGAUUUGAGUUUGAGCACAUAUGUUGGUACCCGAAAGAUGGUGAACUAUGCCUGAGUAGGGUGAAGCCAGGGGAAACUCUGGUGGAAGCUCGUAGCGAUUCUGACGUGCAAAUCGAUCGUCAAACUUGGGUAUAGGGGCGAAAGACUAAUCGAACCAUCUAGUAGCUGGUUCCCUCCGAAAUUUCCCUCAGGAUAGCAGCAACUUAUUUACGAUAGUUUUAUGAGGUAAAGCGAAUGAUUAGAGGAUUCGGGGAAGAAACUUCCUCGACCUAUUCUCAAACUUUAAAUCUGUAAGACCUGCAGGUUUCUUAAUUGAACUUGUGGAUGUGAAUAU
This 2202-nucleotide ribosomal RNA is filed under the name Peronospora ranunculi. RNAcentral describes it as "eukaryotic LSU rRNA". The stretch from base 881 to 2202 matches the Rfam family "Eukaryotic large subunit ribosomal RNA", at positions 1 to 1116 of the family's 3401-position model. The record is from RNAcentral. Lineage: Eukaryota; Oomycota; Peronosporomycetes; Peronosporales; Peronosporaceae.